UGGGGAAUUUUGGACAAUGGGCGAAAGCCUGAUCCAGCAAUGCCGCGUGUGUGAAGAAGGCCUUCGGGUUGUAAAGCACUUUUGCUCCGGAAAGAAAUCCUUGGCUCUAAUACAGUCGGGGGAUGACGGUACCGGAAGAAUAAGCACCGGCUAACUACGUGCCAGCAGCCGCGGUAAUACGUAGGGUGCAAGCGUUAAUCGGAAUUACUGGGCGUAAAGCGUGCGCAGGCGGUUUGCUAAGACCGAUGUGAAAUCCCCGGGCUCAACCUGGGAACUGCAUUGGUGACUGGCAGGCUAGAGUAUGGCAGAGGGGGGUAGAAUUCCACGUGUAGCAGUGAAAUGCGUAGAGAUGUGGAGGAAUACCGAUGGCGAAGGCAGCCCCCUGGGCCAAUACUGACGCUCAUGCACGAAAGCGUGGGGAGCAAACAGGAUUAGAUACCCUGGUAGUCCACGCCCUAAACGAUGUCAACUAGUUGUUGGGGAUUCAUUUCCUUAGUAACGUAGCUAACGCGUGAAGUUGACCGCCUGGGGAGUACGGU
This 539-nucleotide ribosomal RNA is filed under the name uncultured bacterium. RNAcentral's name for it is "partial 16S ribosomal RNA". It matches the Rfam family "Bacterial small subunit ribosomal RNA", at positions 355 to 886 of the family's 1533-position model. The record is from RNAcentral.